GAGCGAUUGCACCAGGGUUCUUAGACACUGAUAUAUUCAGACUCCAGACGUUGCAACACGUGAUGAGAAUGACACGAACAUGGGACUCAACGAUGUCUAUGAUACCUAAGGGAGGUGACACGAUAUGGGGCGGUCUUGAUUGGGCGCCGGAGAAAGGGCACACUUGUUCUGGUAAAAAGAAAAGUAGCAACAAGACUCGAGGAGAAGCUGGUGAAAACUCAGUUUCCAAGACAAAGCCUGUUAACUACGGAAGAAUCAUAUCAUUUGGGAAAGAUGUGGCUGAGGCUGCGCCGUCUGAUAUUGAAAACAUUGAUUUUCGAGUAAGGACAUAUAAACUCUUAUACUUUUUCUGUGACUAGGUGAUUAAUAUAUAGGUUUUAUUUGGUGAUAGGGUGCGGUGAAAGGUCAGAGUAUCCCAAACAACACAUGCCGUGACGUGUGGACAGAGUACCAUGAUAUGGGAAUUGGAGGGAUCAAAGCUAUUGCUGAGUAUAAGGUCUACACUGCUGACGCGGUUAUAGAUUUGUUACAUUAUGUUGCUCCUAAGAUGAUGGCGCGUGGCGCCGCCCAUUUCUCCUAUGGGAUUGCUGAUGAUUUGGAUGACCCCAAGUACGAACAUCACAGGCACUGGUCCAAUCCAUUGGAAACAAAGUAAGUGAUUUGUUUUGGUACCAACUCUAUGCUUUGUCCUCAUGCAUUCAGUAUUAGUCUCUUAUUUUCCAUCUUGUUGAAUAUGCUUUAUCAAUUUAAAGCUAAGAGCAUUCCCGAUGGUACUCUAUUUUUCACUUUAAGAUAGAGUCGAGAGUAAAAAUGUUCCAAUAGUAUUCUAUUUUUUACUCUAUAAUAGAGUAAAAAAUGAGUUUACUUUGCAAAUAGAGUAGCUCAUUUAUUUUUUGCUGACCACUCUAUUUUUCACUAUAAAAUAGAUUAUCAUCGGAAUAUAAUUCAACUCCAGAGUUAUUCUAUUUUGAAGGAAAAAAUAGAGUGAACCAUGGAUAUGGUCUAACAUAGCUGUUUGAGUCUUUUUUUGAAAUGACUUGCUUAAUUAUGUUUAGCUUUUAAAGUUGAUACAUGUGAUGCUUGCUUAUAAAACAAGCUCUAGGAUGGCUUUGACGUGACAAAUAAAUCAACUUAUUCAAAAUCUAUUUAGCUGAAAACCCUUAAACCAGCUUCUAGUUUUAGAGUUUAUCUAUCCCAAUAAGGAUCAUUUUUCCUCUAUCUUAUCCUUAAAACCCUCGUUUGGUUUGUUCUGUUGUUUCAGGCUACCCAAUGCCCCUGAAAUGGAGAUCUACUCACUGUAUGGAGUUGGGAUACCAACAGAACGAUCAUACAUCUACAAGCUCAAUCAGUCUCCAGACAGCUGCAUCCCCUUUCAUAUUUUCACUUCUGCUCACGAGGAGGACAAAGAAAGCUGUCUGAAAGCAGGAGUUUACAACUCAAAUGCUUUCUGAGAACUGAAAAAGAGAUUUUUAAAAGUUUCCACAUUAGUUAUGUCUUUAAUCUCAUCUGUCCUCGUUCUGUUAGCUAGCUAUGAACUCCUCUUUUGUAUGUUAUGAUCUGCAUCUUUCUUUUUUCGGCUCACUGAUCUUCUUUUUUUUGCUCUUUUAGAGAUGGGACAGUGUUACCGUUGGAGACUAAUAAUGUUAUUGUUUAUAGUAUCUUUAGAUGAUUGAUUAUUUUCUUUGAUUCAGGCCUCUAUGUUGGGUGGAACACAUGUCACUUGACAACGAAACUGGUUUAGAUCCUGCUGGUAUUAGGAUUAGAGCUGUGUCAGGACUCGUGGCUGCUGAUUACUUCGCUCCUGGCUACUUUGUCUGGGCGGUGCUGAUUGCUAACCUUGCACAUAUUGGAUACGAGGAGAAGAACAUGUACAUGGCUGCAUAUGACUGGAGGCUUUCGUUUCAGAACACAGAGGUUCUUCUCUCAUUAAACAAACUCUCUUAUUCUUUCUUUUAUCUCUUAGGUUCUAACUGUCUUUCAUAUGUUUGAAUCAUUAGGUGCGUGACCAGACGCUUAGCCGUAUGAAAAGCAAUAUAGAGUUGAUGGUUUCCACCAACGGUGGGAAGAAAGCAGUUAUAGUUCCUCAUUCCAUGGGGGUAUUGUAUUUCUUACAUUUUAUGAAAUGGGUGGAGGCACCAGCUCCUAUGGGCGGCGGUGGUGGGCCUGAUUGGUGUGCAAAGCAUAUCAAAGCGGUGAUGAACAUUGGUGGACCGUUUCUUGGUGUUCCAAAAGCUGUUGCAGGGCUUUUCUCUGCUGAAGCAAAGGAUGUUGCAGUUGCCAGGUAUUGAAUUAGCCACUAGAUAUCAGUUUUAAUAGUAGUGUUAUAUUGUCUCUGCUACUAUUAGUUUGGUUGGUUAGAUUUGCUGCUUUAUGAAACUGGAACUCUCUUGAGAUUUAAACAAUUGAUGAAUUUGGCAUUGUCACUUACGAAACUGGAACUCCCUUGCAGAGCGAUUGCACCAGGGUUCUUAGACACUGAUAUAUUCAGACUCCAGACGUUGCAACACGUGAUGAGAAUGACACGAACAUGGGACUCAACGAUGUCUAUGAUACCUAAGGGAGGUGACACGAUAUGGGGCGGUCUUGAUUGGGCGCCGGAGAAAGGGCACACUUGUUCUGGUAAAAAGAAAAGUAGCAACAAGACUCGAGGAGAAGCUGGUGAAAACUCAGUUUCCAAGACAAAGCCUGUUAACUACGGAAG
This 2701-nucleotide long non-coding RNA is filed under the name Brassica napus (rape). RNAcentral describes it as "long non-coding RNA (BNAP_LNC001079)". The record is from RNAcentral. Lineage: Eukaryota; Viridiplantae; Streptophyta; Magnoliopsida; Brassicales; Brassicaceae.